RNAcentral lists this ribosomal RNA (460 nucleotides) under uncultured bacterium. RNAcentral's name for it is "partial 16S ribosomal RNA". It matches the Rfam family "Bacterial small subunit ribosomal RNA", at positions 338 to 795 of the family's 1533-position model. The record is from RNAcentral.
CCUACGGGAGGCAGCAGUGAGGAAUAUUGGUCAAUGGGCGCGAGCCUGAACCAGCCAAGUAGCGUGAAGGAUGAAUGCCCUACGGGUUGUAAACUUCUUUUAUAAAGGAAUAAAGUGAGGCACGUGUGCCUUUUUGUAUGUAUUUUAUGAUUACGGAUCGGCUAACUCCGCGCCAGCAGCCGCGGUAAUACGGAGGUACCGAGCGUUAUCCGGAUUUAUUGGGUUGAAAGGGAGCGUAGAUGGGUUGUUAAGUCAGUUGUGAAAGUUUGCGGCUCAACCGUAAAAGUGCAAUUGAUACUGGCAGGCUUGAGUACAGUUGAGGUAGGCGGAAUUCGUGGUGUAGCGGUGAAAUGCUUAGAUAUCACGAAGAACACCGAUUGCGAAGGCAGCCUACUAAACUGCCACUGACAUUGAUGCUCGAAAGUGUGGGGAUCAAACAGGAUUAGAUACCCGAGUAGUC